RNAcentral lists this ribosomal RNA (404 nucleotides) under uncultured microorganism. RNAcentral describes it as "bacterial SSU rRNA". It matches the Rfam family "Bacterial small subunit ribosomal RNA", at positions 9 to 410 of the family's 1533-position model. The record is from RNAcentral.
GAGUUUGAUCUUGGCUCAGAUUGAACGCUGGCGGCAUGCCUUACACAUGCAAGUCGAACGGCAGCAUGAUCUAGCUUGCUAGAUUGAUGGCGAGUGGCGAACGGGUGAGUAAUACAUCGGAACGUGCCCUGUAGUGGGGAUAACUAGUCGAAAGAUUAGCUAAUACCGCAUACGACCUGAGGGUGAAAGUGGGGGACCGCAAGGCCUCAUGCUAUAGGAGCGGCCGAUGUCUGAUUAGCUAGUUGGUGGGGUAAAGGCCCACCAAGGCGACGAUCAGUAGCUGGUCUGAGAGGACGAUCAGCCACACUGGGACUGAGACACGGCCCAGACUCCUACGGGAGGCAGCAGUGGGGAAUUUUGGACAAUGGGCGAAAGCCUGAUCAAGCAAUGCCGCGUGUGUGAAG